This is an RNA transcript of Acipenser ruthenus (sterlet), 1393 nucleotides long. It is a transcript of the gene named PABPN1 like, cytoplasmic, with no coding region annotated. The transcript is spliced from 8 exons. Lineage: Eukaryota; Metazoa; Chordata; Actinopteri; Acipenseriformes; Acipenseridae. The record is from RefSeq and is a predicted model, not a curated record.
AACACAUGUGUUAAUGCAGGUGAAAGUGCAGCUGUCAACUUUAAUUAAAAGACCCUGAUGGCAUUAAAAACUCAACCGGAGACUUGUCCUGCCCCUAAUUUAAUGGACAGGGCAUCCUAGUUCCAAUCGGGAGGUUAGCUGAAGCCCCAGGUUGAGGGCCUUGUUGAAGAAACGCAGCCGGGACCUGGAGUAAGCGGGGUUUCAAGUCGGAGUCGUGAUAUGGCGGACGAAAGGCAUUAUGCUGACGAAGGGCUCGGUCUUCUGGAAGGGGAGUUUACGGGGGACCAUAAUGUUGAAGACCCCGAGUUGGAGGCCAUCAAAGCUAGGGUUCGUGAAAUGGAGGAAGAAGCAGAGAAACUGAAAGAAGUACAAUAUGAAACUGAGAAACAUCUGAUAAUGAGCCCACAGGCAAGUGGUGUCUUCUACCCAAUGACUGCUGAAGAGAAGGUGGAUGCUGAUAACAGAUCGGUUUAUGUGGGCAAUGUGGAUUAUGGUUCGACUGCAGAUGAGCUGGAAGUUCACUUCAACGGCUGUGGUCCAGUCAAUCGUGUGACCAUUCUGUGUGAUAAAUUCUCCGGACAUCCUAAGGGGUUUGCAUACAUUGAGUUUUCAGACCGGGACUCUGUGAAGACAGCCAUGGCUUUGGAUGAGACACUGUUUAGGGGUAGAAUCAUAAAGGUGCUCCCAAAAAGGACCAACAUGCCUGGGAUCAGUUCGACGGACCGGGGGAGUCAAAGGGGCGGGCGCCUGAGGGGGCGGGGCUUCCGCUCCUCCAGAUACAACAGCAGCGGCUACCAGCCCAGACAGCGGGGCCGCUCCUUCAGGUCAGCAUUGCCACAAUCGGGGGCUCGGGUGUCCACAUGAGGAAAAAGGACACAGGUAAAUCCUGCAGGUCCUGACCAACUUUUAAAGAAGUCUUUCAAAGUCCUUCGCAAGGGGAGGUGGAAGAAUCCCAACUUGGUAUUCUCCUUAUUAAGUAAAUGGAAACUAAAAUGGAGAGAUGUGGAUGUGAAGAUCACAUUGCUAUGAAGUUCAUUUGUUACUGUGUUGUACAUUUUCAAAACUACUGUAUGUGAGGUGUUAGUCUUUUGGCAUGUCUGCAGGAGCAAGUCUACCACAAUCUCUAACCUGUUUCUUAGCAGCAUAGCACUCCUUUUCUGUAGAUCACUGUAUAAUCGUAUGUCAUCGUAUUGUACAUAUACAAUAUCUUUUUUUUGGGGGGGGGGUCAAACUGGUACCAGAGUAGCCAACGCUGGUUUAAAUAUGCUUCUGUACUGUAAUGAAUUGUGGUUGUAUGAGAUAUGUUUUGUCGUUUUGUAUAUUACAUAUUAAAGGCUUUGUUUUAUUACAAAAAUUGUAACUUUCUGUAAUAAAAUAUACAUAUAGUGAACAA